GCGACACGGACGACCAUUUUUGCGGGCAGUCGUUAUAAAAAUCCGAAUAUAUUCUUCAUCGAAAAACAAAUUGUCACGGUAGACGAUCGUUUCCCCACGUUCCAGCGGAAAUCGCUGGCCCGGUUUUAGCUCAAGUUCACGCGUUGCAUAAGGGGCGAGAACGUUGCGCUGAUGCAACCAGAGAGGAUGGUUUUGUAUGCGCAGAUCCCGCGCAGGUUCAUUAAAUGGUGAUAUAGGAUGAGGUGCGUUGAGGAUGACCUUGA
Molecule: unclassified non-coding RNA, 263 nt
Filed under: uncultured fungus
Lineage: Eukaryota; Fungi
Description: sequence contains ITS1
Source: RNAcentral